Molecule: ribosomal RNA, 1149 nt
Filed under: Triticum aestivum (bread wheat)
Lineage: Eukaryota; Viridiplantae; Streptophyta; Magnoliopsida; Poales; Poaceae
Description: partial small subunit ribosomal RNA
Source: RNAcentral
AUGAAGCGGAAGACGCGGAACAAGAUCGUGGUGACGGUGCUGCUGCUGGGGGCGGCGGCGGUGCUGAUCGGCGGCACGCUGGCGCUGAUCCUGACGGCGGGCACCUGGAAGGUGAAGCUCAAGGAGUCGCAGGAGAAGGUGUGCAACAAGGGGUGGGAGUGCUCCGGCACCAAGUACUGCUGCAACCAGACCAUCACCGACUUCUUCAAGGUGUACCAGUUCGAGAACCUCUUCGCCAAGCGCAACUUCCCCGUCGCCAAGGCCGUCGGCUUCUGGGACUACCAGGCCUUCAUCACCGCCGCCUCGCUCUUCGAGAACCAGGGCUUCUGCACCACCGGCGGCAUCGACAUGCAGAUGAUGGAGCUCUGCGCCUUCCUCGGACACGUCGGCGCCAAGACCUCAUGUAUGUAUGCUUGUUCUUUUUUCUUCUUCUUCUACUUCUCCGGUGGGGAGGCUCGAUUCCGAUUCCGAUGGACUGCCGGCUUGCUCUGCUUCCUGUUGCCUCCCCUGCUUCGAUUAGAUCCAGGAGACCGACUGAUUGAUCUUCUUGCAGGUGGAUACGGCGUGGCCACCGGCGGUCCGACGGCGUGGGGGCUGUGCUACAACCACGAGAUGAGCCCCGACCAGGGCUACUGCGACGACUCCUACACGCAGUGGCCCUGCGUCAAGGGCGCCGAGUACUACGGCCGCGGCGCCAUCCCCGUCUACUGGAACUUCAACUACGGCGCGGCGGGGGACGGGCUGAAGGUGGACCUGCUGCACCACCCGGAGCUGCUGGAGCAGAACGCGACGCUGGCGUUCGCGGCGGCCAUGUGGCGGUGGAUGACGCCCAUCAAGAAGAAGCAGCCGUCGGCGCACGAGGCCUUCACGGGGGUGUGGAAGCCCACCAAGAACGACACGCUCAGCAAGCGCCUCCCGGGCUUCGGCGCCACCAUGAACCUCCUCUACGGCGAGUCCAUCUGCGGCAGGGGCUUCAUCGACGAGAUGAACGUCAUCAUCUCCCACUACCAGUACUACCUCGACCUCAUGGGCUUCGGCCGGGAGCGGUCCGGCCUCAACCUCGACUGCGCCGAGCAGGCCCCCUUCAACCCCGCCCCCAAGAAGGACGACGAGCAGCAGCCCACCGGAGGCCAGAAGCCGUCGGGCUAG